ACAUUAAUUCCACAGUAGAGAGUAGAGACUUGUAGGGCGUGUGAGACCUUGUUACCAGGCAGGCAUAAGAAAUCGUUAGGAAGUGGAGCCAUUCCCUACCGGCCUCUACCUGCUCGGGAACACGUAACCAUGACACCCCACUGAGAACCACGGGCACUGAGUCCUGAAGAUCCUUUUGCAAGACCUCUCCAGAGCCGGUUCACUCAGCAUCUUGGGGCCCUGACCUUGUGGUCCUGAGAUCUCACAGGCAGAAUCUGGAAAGCAAGUGCUUCCCAUCCAUCUUUCCCAUGAGGGAUGUGAUCUUCCUUGGACACUCAGAUAGAACAUCGCUGGUCAUGCUAGACACACAGACAAGAGAUGUGCUUGCCUGGUAUUCUUCUUUGCCUUUUCAUUGCUGUCAUCAGUGACCAGAAACUGCUUGGGGAAGACCGGGUUGAUUUCAUCAUGAAGGCCAAGACAGUCACCUGAGGAGAACUGAAGAAGAGACCACGGACAGAUGUUAUUUAUUCGUUUGCUGCCUUUGUUUUUUUUUUUUAAGCUAUCUCUUUUAUACAGCAAGGCCCACCUGCAAGGGAUGGUACUACCUACCUAGGACUGGGUCCUCCUUGAGUUAGAACUCAAGGAAGUGACCCACAGAUAUGUCCUCAGGCAAAUCUGGUCGUGGCAACACCCCAACCAAAGGUCCUUCUUUCCGGGUGUUCUGAAUGGACAGCUAAGUCACCACACCUGUAGAGACUCUAAGACGCUCAUGUCUACUCACUAGAGCUGAAGACAGGUUUUCCUCGAAGGCACUCAGAAUAAUUCUGCAUCACCUUGGAACUUCUGCCUCCAAGUAAAGUGGAGGACUCAAGUCGGCGGGUUGUUCCAGGGCUGACAUACACAGCUUCAUAAAGGGAGGAACUCAGUUUCUUGAGUUUCUGACUUCUGCUUGGUUUAUUGAGCCAUCCUAUUUGAGUAAGAAUCUGUACCUUCGUUCUGUAUUUGACCAGCAAAUUAUUCAGCCAGCCCAGGCCACAAACACCUGCCCACCCACUCUCCUCUUGGCCACAAUUGACUUCUUAUCUUCCACAACUCCUCAGAGCAAACACUGUCUACUCUGUCAUGUCAGAUGCCCCAGAUGCUGAGAAUGUGUUAGCCAUUAUCAAUGGUGAACUUGAAGUCUAGCUCAUCCAAACUGUGGGGCAGGUAUAAAAUGCUCACUUUGAAAACUCGGCACGAAGGAUGUAAAGUAACCUGUUACUUUUUAUCAUGACUACAUGUUGGCAUUAGAUCUCGGAGAUAGCUAGCUGAACCGAACACUAUUAAAAUAAAUGCUCCCUGCUCCUUUCACUAUUUUGAUGGAGUUACUACAAAACUUUAAAAUAACGUGUUUUCCUAUUAAUUUUUUAACUGGACAGCACUGGCCUAGGAUAAUUCCUUUUCUACCCUGACUUUUAUGGCUUGAAUCGGAGGUGCCCGCCAGUCUCAUGUUUUGAACUUGGUUCCUGUUUUGUGGUACUGUUUUUAAAGCUUUGGAGCCUUUUGGAGGUCUGGCGUGAAAUAGAUCAGUAUGAACAGACCUUCGAAGUCUACCCUUGCUCCUGGUCCUAGCCUGCUUCCCACUCGGCUGCCAUUUGAGGAGUCUUUGCCACCUACUCAAAAGCCUUCCCCAGCUUCACCAGGAUGGGCAGAAACCAUGAGCCAAAGGAAACGUUUUCACUCUUGUCCUGUCAGGUGUUUAUUCAGAGAGAUGUAAAAGUAAUGUACUCCCCAUCCUUUCAAUUUUGGGCUCCUCUCACCAGCAGCCAGGAAUGUUUCUGUCUUCUCUUCCCUGCCUGUUUCAACAUUUGAGAGACCAGUUGUCCUCAAUGCACGACACCGGGAACCAACGACUACCUCCUUUCAGCUGCAGCCCAAGCAGCACCUAGGUCUCUGCCCUGUACUUGGCGGGUCUGAAUAAAAGCUUAUGGGAGCCAUGA
Rattus norvegicus (Norway rat) is the source of this 1958-nucleotide long non-coding RNA. RefSeq lists it as uncharacterized. NCBI's taxonomy places the organism in Eukaryota, Metazoa, Chordata, Mammalia, Rodentia, Muridae. The record is from RefSeq and is a predicted model, not a curated record.